GUUAGAGUGGCAGACCCCGGAGAUUGCAAAAGACCUAAGCCCUUUUAAUGGAGGUUCAAAUCCUCCCCCUAACU
RNAcentral lists this transfer RNA (74 nucleotides) under Priacanthus macracanthus (red bigeye). RNAcentral describes it as "tRNA-Leu(UUR)". It matches the Rfam family "tRNA". From Rfam's summary of the family: Transfer RNA (tRNA) molecules are approximately 80 nucleotides in length. Their secondary structure includes four short double-helical elements and three loops (D, anti-codon, and T loops). Lineage: Eukaryota; Metazoa; Chordata; Actinopteri; Priacanthiformes; Priacanthidae. The record is from RNAcentral.